This 192-nucleotide small nuclear RNA is filed under the name Pelobates cultripes (western spadefoot toad). It matches the Rfam family "U2 spliceosomal RNA". From Rfam's summary of the family: U2 is a small nuclear RNA (snRNA) component of the spliceosome (involved in pre-mRNA splicing). Complementary binding between U2 snRNA (in an area lying towards the 5' end but 3' to hairpin I) and the branchpoint sequence (BPS) of the intron results the bulging out of an unpaired adenosine, on the BPS, which initiates a nucleophilic attack at the intronic 5' splice site, thus starting the first of two transesterification reactions that mediate splicing. Lineage: Eukaryota; Metazoa; Chordata; Amphibia; Anura; Pelobatidae. The record is from RNAcentral.
AAUGCUCUGUGACUGAGUGGUUCAAAAAAAAAAAAAAAAUCUGUUCUUAUCAGUUUAAUAUCUGAUACGUCCCCUAUCUGGGGACCAUAUAUUAAAUGGAUUUUUGGGACAGAGAGAUGGAAGAAGAGCUUGCUCUGUCCACUCCACGCAUUGACCUGGUAUUGCAGUACCUCCAGGACCGGUGCACCUCUC